AAAUUUCGGGAAUUUUUCAUCUUGGUGGCCCCCAAACGCCUUUUCCCGAACAAAGAGGGAUUUGGGGCUUUUGGCUGGAAAAUUCCCGUUAGGAAAUUCCCUCCCNNNNNNNNNNNNNNNNNNNNCAGUUUUGAAUUUUUUAAAUUAUUUUUCUUUUUUUACACGCUCGCUCAGGAAUGCGCUUCCUCCUCCUCCUCCUCCUCCUCCUCCUCCUCUGGGAUCGUUGCUAAUUUGGGAUCUCUCGUGCUCCAACAAAUCAUUAUCAUCAAAUUUCAGAUUAAAAAAAAAAAAAAAAAACAAACAACCCAAAAAGCCCCAGAAGGAGAAGAACAAACCCAACUUUUCCUGCGGGAGACAAAAAGGGCCGGGGAGGGAGCGGAGCCGCCGCUUCCCUGCCCCCAGGAAGGUUUCCCUGGGAACAGUUUCCCCAAAAUUCGCCUCCUGAGCAGGAGCUCAGACCCCGCUCCAGCGCCUCAGGUUCGGAGGGACCCGCCACAGCGGAGCCCAGCGCCUAAAACUGGACUUUUUUAUUAUUUUUUCCCAUUUUCCCCCUUUUGCAGAGAGGAAUCUGCAGCCUGGGGUUGCUGUCGGGUUUUUUGUUUGGGUUUUUUUCUGUUCGGGAUUUUUUGUGGGGUUUUUUUGGGAAAACACCGCCGCAGAGUUGCUGAACAACCGAAGGAACUUUGGGAUUUAAAGUUGGAAAUAAAGUUUAGCAGCUCCAAGGUGUGCGAGAGAAUUCCCUUUUUUCCCCCCUCUAUUAUUUCCCCCCCUUUUUUUUAUUUUUAUUUUCUUUGCCCCUCCCUAGUUUUCUUUUUACUUUUCCCCCAUUUUUUGGGGGAAGGGGGUAUUUUCCCCAUUUUUAUUUUCCUUUUUUUUUUUUUUUUUUUUUUUUUUUUUUUUUUUUUUUUUUUUUUCAUUUUAACAAAGAAUCCGAACUGGGAAAAAAAAAAUAACAAAAGACAAGAAGUGAAUAAAGACGAUGUGCCAGUANNNNNNNNNNNNNNNNNNNNAAAAAAAAAAAAAAAAGGGAAAAAAGAAGAAUACAACUCUCUCCUAACUCUCUUUUCCUCCACCGCUGUUACUGUGGACGCCAGCUAA
Molecule: long non-coding RNA, 1098 nt
Filed under: Serinus canaria (Common canary)
Lineage: Eukaryota; Metazoa; Chordata; Aves; Passeriformes; Fringillidae
Description: lncRNA (ENSSCAG00000006114.1)
Source: RNAcentral